CCGCCUACGGGAGGCAGCAGUGGGGAAUAUUGGACAAUGGGCGAAAGCCUGAUCCAGCAAUGCCGCGUGAGUGUAGAAGGCCUUAGGGUUGUAAAGCUCUUUCGCCUGCGACGAUGAUGACGGUAGCAGGAGAAGAAGCCCCGGCUAAUUCCGUGCCAGCAGCCGCGGUAAUACGGAAGGGGCUAGCGUUGUUCGGAAUCACUGGGCGUAAAGCGCGCGUAGGCGGCUUGGCAAGUGAGGCGUGAAAGUCCUGGGCUCAACCCGGGGACUGCGCUUCAGACUGCUUGGCUUGAGUCCGGAAGAGGGUGGUGGAAUUCCGAGUGUAGAGGUGAAAUUCGUAGAUAUUCGGAGGAACACCGGCGGCGAAGGCGGCCACCUGGUCCGGAACUGACGCUCAAGUGCGAAAGCGUGGGGAGCAAACAGGAUUAGAUACCCCAGUAGUC
RNAcentral lists this ribosomal RNA (443 nucleotides) under uncultured Rhodospirillaceae bacterium. RNAcentral describes it as "bacterial SSU rRNA". It matches the Rfam family "Bacterial small subunit ribosomal RNA", at positions 335 to 795 of the family's 1533-position model. Lineage: Bacteria; Pseudomonadati; Pseudomonadota; Alphaproteobacteria; Rhodospirillales; Rhodospirillaceae. The record is from RNAcentral.